This 497-nucleotide ribosomal RNA is filed under the name uncultured bacterium. Its description in RNAcentral is "partial 16S ribosomal RNA". It matches the Rfam family "Bacterial small subunit ribosomal RNA", at positions 28 to 507 of the family's 1533-position model. The record is from RNAcentral.
GAUGAACGCUGGCGGCGUGCCUAAUACAUGCAAGUCGAGCGAACAGACGAGGAGCUUGCUCCUCUGACGUUAGCGGCGGACGGGUGAGUAACACGUGGAUACCCUACCUAUAAGACUGGGAUAACUUCGGGAAACCGGAGCUAAUACCGGAUAAUAUAUUGAACCGCAUGGUUCAAUAGUGAAAGACGGUUUUGCUGUCACUUAUAGCUGGAUCCGCGCCGCAUUAGCUAGUUGGUAAGGUAACGGCUUACCAAGGCAACGAUGCGUAGCCGACCUGAGAGGGGGAUCGGCCACACUGGAACUGAGACACGGUCCAGACUCCUACGGGAGGCAGCAGUAGGGAAUCUUCCGCAAUGGGCGAAAGCCUGACGGAGCAACGCCGCGUGAGUGAUGAAGGUCUUCGGAUCGUAAAACUCUGUUAUUAGGGAAGAACAAAUGUGUAAGUAACUAUGCACGUCUUGACGGUACCUAAUCAGAAAGCCACGGCUAACUACGUG